UAUAAGCCUAAAUAAAUAGCAGAAGCAUUGCCAAAUAGAAAUGGGAAUUAUUCGUUUCGAGGUGAAGACAAGGAGUCGAAAGCAGCAAGAAUAUAAAUAGGAGCGGACAAGGUUAAACUUGAGUUCAGGCUUUUCGGCUGGGCAGGCUAACAACGUAUAGGAGUAGGAGUCCAAAUUGUCAAAUAUAUAUGGGAAUGCAAGAAUAUACAUUCCAGCUGAUUAGCUUAAGCUUGCACGUUUUCAUGAGCUUGGAUUUGCCUAUCUCAUCCAGGCCCAGCUGGUACGAGUGUUGUUGCCACCGACAAAGCCAGAAGUCGCAGAGAGGCUGAUGCUGAGAAGAGGAAGAGUUAUUGAUGAAUUCUUCGACGAUGUACAGAGGGAAAACUACGCCGCUUGAUUCAUUGACAAGUAAAGUGCACCAAACAGGAUUGGUUCCACCAAGUUUAUAAUCUUCAGAGUCUGAGCACCGUUUUAGAAACUCUUUGAUGUUGUCGCGAAAAGAACGGGAAAAGUCCAUACUGGAAUCAUCGAUGGAGGAGAAGCGAGAAGUGCAGAUGAUCUUCUUUGGAGUUCGUUUUCUUUUCUUGCAAGCUUCAAAUACGGUUAUCGCCAUUUUGGUAGUGAGAGGAGAGUGAAAGAAGAAAAACUAUUCAAGAAAAAGAAGAGAAGUAGAAAAGGGGGAUUACACGACUAGUCCUUCCUAUUUUAUAGGCGGGAGAACUUACAUGGGUUGGGUUGGGUUGGGUUGAGAGCAGUGGUAUAUUUGUAAUUGUAAGAGGAAAGGAAAAGUAACUAACUUGAUUGUUGUUGCUUAUUGCGGUUCUCUCUCUCACGUUUUUUGAAGAUUGUUGUGGGCUCAUAUUUGGCAUCUUUUUUUUUUUUUUGAACAUAGGCAUUUCUUCUGUUUGGUUGCUGGGAAAACCCUCAAGGAUGUUUGUGAAUUUUACUUUUCCUUUCUUAAUGUCCACUUCUGAUCGUUCCACCUAAUUUGGGAACAAUA
Long non-coding RNA from Ricinus communis (castor bean), 1000 nucleotides. RefSeq lists it as uncharacterized. The transcript has 2 exons. Lineage: Eukaryota; Viridiplantae; Streptophyta; Magnoliopsida; Malpighiales; Euphorbiaceae. The record is from RefSeq and is a predicted model, not a curated record.